This 354-nucleotide unclassified non-coding RNA is filed under the name soil metagenome. Its description in RNAcentral is "partial contains 5.8S ribosomal RNA, internal transcribed spacer 2, and large subunit ribosomal RNA". The stretch from base 1 to 120 matches the Rfam family "5.8S ribosomal RNA", at positions 35 to 154 of the family's 154-position model. The record is from RNAcentral.
GAUGAAGAACGUAGCGAAAUGCGAUAAGUAAUGUGAAUUGCAGAAUUCAGUGAAUCAUCGAAUCUUUGAACGCACAUUGCCCCCGCCAGUAUUCUGGCGGGCAUGCCUGUUCGAGCGUCAUUUCAACCCUCAGGCCCCCAGUGCCUGGCGUUGGGGAUCGGCGCGGCGCACUCCGGGGCGCUGCCGGCCCCGAAAUUCAGUGGCGGUCUCGCUGUAGCCCUCCUCCGCGUAGUAGCACAACCUCGCGGCCUGGAGCUCGGCGGUGGCCAUGCCGUAAAACACCCCACUUCUGAAAGUUGACCUCGGAUCAGGUAGGAAUACCCGCUGAACUUAAGCAUAUCAAUAAGCGGAGGA